Non-coding RNA from Podospora didyma, 89 nucleotides. The record is from the annotation of a GenBank genome assembly. NCBI's taxonomy places the organism in Eukaryota, Fungi, Ascomycota, Sordariomycetes, Sordariales, Podosporaceae.
GCCCGUAUGGUCUAGUGGUAUGACGUUCGCCUCACAUCUUCAUAAAAUGUGUUCGCGACAGGUCCCAGGUUCGAGCCCUGGUGUGGGCA